GGGUUGUGAGGUUAAGCGACUAAGCGUACACGGUGGAUGCCCUGGCAGUCAGAGGCGAUGAAGGGCGUGCUAAUCUGCGAUAAGCGCCGGUAAGGUGAUAUGAACCGUUAUAACCGGCGAUACCCGAAUGGGGAAACCCAGUGUGACUCGUCACACUAUCAUUAACUGAAUCCAUAGGUUAAUGAGGCGAACCGGGGGAACUGAAACAUCUAAGUACCCCGAGGAAAAGAAAUCAACCGAGAUUCCCCCAGUAGCGGCGAGCGAACGGGGAGGAGCCCAGAGCCUGAAUCAGCAUAUGUGUUAGUGGAAGCGUCUGGAAAGGCGCGCGAUACAGGGUGACAGCCCCGUACACAAAAGCGCAUGUGCUGUGAGCUCGAUGAGUAGGGCGGGACACGUGGUAUCCUGUCUGAAUAUGGGGGGACCAUCCUCCAAGGCUAAAUACUCCUGACUGACCGAUAGUGAACCAGUACCGUGAGGGAAAGGCGAAAAGAACCCCGGCGAGGGGAGUGAAAAAGAACCUGAAACCGUGUACGUACAAGCAGUGGGAGCACCCUUUGGGGUGUGACUGCGUACCUUUUGUAUAAUGGGUCAGCGACUUAUAUUCUGUAGCAAGGUUAACCGAAUAGGGGAGCCGGAGGGAAACCGAGUCUUAAUUGGGCGUUAAGUUGCAGGGUAUAGACCCGAAACCCGGUGAUCUAGCCAUGGGCAGGUUGAAGGUUGGGUAACACUAACUGGAGGACCGAACCGACUAAUGUUGAAAAAUUAGCGGAUGACCUGUGGCUGGGGGUGAAAGGCCAAUCAAACCGGGAGAUAGCUGGUUCUCCCCGAAAGCUAUUUAGGUAGCGCCUCGUGAAUUCAUCUCCGGGGGUAGAGCACUGUUUCGGCUAGGGGGCCAUCCCGGCUUACCAACCCGAUGCAAACUGCGAAUACCGGAGAAUGUUAUCACGGGAGACACACGGCGGGUGCUAACGUCCGUCGUGAAGAGGGAAACAACCCAGACCGCCAGCUAAGGUCCCAAAGUCAUGGUUAAGUGGGAAACGAUGUGGGAAGGCCCAGACAGCCAGGAUGUUGGCUUAGAAGCAGCCAUCAUUUAAAGAAAGCGUAAUAGCUCACUGGUCGAGUCGGCCUGCGCGGAAGAUGUAACGGGGCUAAACCAUGCACCGAAGCUGCGGCAGCGACGCUGAUGCGUUGUUGGGUAGGGGAGCGUUCUGUAAGCCUGCGAAGGUGGCCUGUGAGGGUUGCUGGAGGUAUCAGAAGUGCGAAUGCUGACAUAAGUAACGAUAAAGCGGGUGAAAAGCCCGCUCGCCGGAAGACCAAGGGUUCCUGUCCAACGUUAAUCGGGGCAGGGUGAGUCGACCCCUAAGGCGAGGCCGAAAGGCGUAGUCGAUGGGAAACGGGUUAAUAUUCCCGUACUUGGUGUUACUGCGAAGGGGGGACGGAGAAGGCUAUGUUGGCCGGGCGACGGUUGUCCCGGUUUAAGCGUGUAGGUGUGUGUUCCAGGUAAAUCCGGUUCACUUUAACACUGAGGCGUGAUGACGAGGCACUACGGUGCUGAAGCAACAAAUGCCCUGCUUCCAGGAAAAGCCUCUAAGCAUCAGGUAACAUCAAAUCGUACCCCAAACCGACACAGGUGGUCAGGUAGAGAAUACCAAGGCGCUUGAGAGAACUCGGGUGAAGGAACUAGGCAAAAUGGUGCCGUAACUUCGGGAGAAGGCACGCUGACACGUAGGUGAAGUGAUUUACUCAUGGAGCUGAAGUCAGUCGAAGAUACCAGCUGGCUGCAACUGUUUAUUAAAAACACAGCACUGUGCAAACACGAAAGUGGACGUAUACGGUGUGACGCCUGCCCGGUGCCGGAAGGUUAAUUGAUGGGGUCAGCGCAAGCGAAGCUCCUGAUCGAAGCCCCGGUAAACGGCGGCCGUAACUAUAACGGUCCUAAGGUAGCGAAAUUCCUUGUCGGGUAAGUUCCGACCUGCACGAAUGGCGUAAUGAUGGCCAGGCUGUCUCCACCCGAGACUCAGUGAAAUUGAACUCGCUGUGAAGAUGCAGUGUACCCGCGGCAAGACGGAAAGACCCCGUGAACCUUUACUAUAGCUUGACACUGAACAUUGAGCCUUGAUGUGUAGGAUAGGUGGGAGGCUUUGAAGUGUGGACGCCAGUCUGCAUGGAGCCGGCCUUGAAAUACCACCCUUUAAUGUUUGAUGUUCUAACGUGGACCCGUGAUCCGGGUUGCGGACAGUGUCUGGUGGGUAGUUUGACUGGGGCGGUCUCCUCCUAAAGAGUAACGGAGGAGCACGAAGGUUGGCUAAUCCUGGUCGGACAUCAGGAGGUUAGUGCAAUGGCAUAAGCCAGCUUGACUGCGAGCGUGACGGCGCGAGCAGGUGCGAAAGCAGGUCAUAGUGAUCCGGUGGUUCUGAAUGGAAGGGCCAUCGCUCAACGGAUAAAAGGUACUCCGGGGAUAACAGGCUGAUACCGCCCAAGAGUUCAUAUCGACGGCGGUGUUUGGCACCUCGAUGUCGGCUCAUCACAUCCUGGGGCUGAAGUAGGUCCCAAGGGUAUGGCUGUUCGCCAUUUAAAGUGGUACGCGAGCUGGGUUUAGAACGUCGUGAGACAGUUCGGUCCCUAUCUGCCGUGGGCGCUGGAGAACUGAGGGGGGCUGCUCCUAGUACGAGAGGACCGGAGUGGACGCAUCACUGGUGUUCGGGUUGUCAUGCCAAUGGCACUGCCCGGUAGCUAAAUGCGGAAGAGAUAAGUGCUGAAAGCAUCUAAGCACGAAACUUGCCCCGAGAUGAGUUCUCCCUGAGACUUAGAGUCUCCUGAAGGAACGUUGAAGACGACGACGUUGAUAGGCCGGGUGUGUAAGCGCAGCGAUGCGUUGAGCUAACCGGUACUAAUGAACCGUGAGGCUUAACCUUACAACGCCGAAG
This 2927-nucleotide ribosomal RNA is filed under the name Salmonella enterica subsp. enterica serovar Bredeney. RNAcentral's name for it is "23S ribosomal RNA". It matches the Rfam family "Bacterial large subunit ribosomal RNA". The record is from RNAcentral. Lineage: Bacteria; Pseudomonadati; Pseudomonadota; Gammaproteobacteria; Enterobacterales; Enterobacteriaceae. RNAcentral also lists the same sequence under 1 other name.